This 492-nucleotide ribosomal RNA is filed under the name uncultured bacterium. RNAcentral describes it as "partial 16S ribosomal RNA". It matches the Rfam family "Bacterial small subunit ribosomal RNA", at positions 29 to 507 of the family's 1533-position model. The record is from RNAcentral.
AGUGAACGCUGGCGGUAGGCCUAACACAUGCAAGUCGAACGGCAGCACAGUAAGAGCUUGCUCUUACGGGUGGCGAGUGGCGGACGGGUGAGGAAUACAUCGGAAUCUACUUUUUCGUGGGGGAUAACGUAGGGAAACUUACGCUAAUACCGCAUACGACCUACGGGUGAAAGCAGGGGAUCUUCGGACCUUGCGCGAUUGAAUGAGCCGAUGUCGGAUUAGCUAGUUGGCGGGGUAAAGGCCCACCAAGGCGACGAUCCGUAGCUGGUCUGAGAGGAUGAUGCGCCACAAGGGAAGGAAGACGGGGCACGGACCCCUGCGGGAGGCAGCGGUGGGGAAUAUUGGACAAUGGGCGCAGGCUUUCCCCACCCAUACGGGGUGGGUGAAAAGGGCCUUGUGUUUGUAAAGCCUUUUUGUUGGGAAAAAAAAGAAGCAGUUUAAUACCCCGUUGUUCUGACGGCACCCAAAGAAUAAGCACCGGCUAACUUCGUG